RNAcentral lists this long non-coding RNA (248 nucleotides) under Elaeis guineensis (African oil palm). RNAcentral's name for it is "long non-coding RNA (EGUI_LNC005280)". Lineage: Eukaryota; Viridiplantae; Streptophyta; Magnoliopsida; Arecales; Arecaceae. The record is from RNAcentral.
GCGCACCAAAACCUGUUGCGGCCAAUCCCCUCGUCGCCUGGUCGUCGGAAAACGAGCACCUGCAAAAGAAGUCCACACUGACCGGAGAUGCCUCCGACGGGGACCCUCCGACGGUCAAGUCAGAGAGAAGACUAGGCAACAAUAGAGAGGAAUCAGGGGACUCAGCAAUGGAGAGAGGAAGAGAGGUUCUCCCCCCGUAAGCUGCUGCCUUACCCCGUUUUAUAGUAAGAGGUGAUAUGGUCCCGUCG